AUAUUUGUUUUUUUAUAUUUUAGGGGUAAUAAAUAAUAUAUUGGUUCCUAAUUUUGCGCAAAUUUGGUAUUAAAAUAAAUUCCCUUUAUAUUUAUUUAUUUAAUUUUUAUAUUUCGCUCCGCGGUUAUUAUUAAUAGCGUGCGGAACAAUUUAACGGCGAAAAUUAUUAUAUAUAUUUCCGAUUAUAAUUUUUUGCAAAUUGCCUUUAACGCAAAUUCGUGUUUUAUAUUUAAUUACGUAACCGUCCUGGUUAAAUUUAUAUAAAAAAACCCAUUUAAAUAAUAUAGGCCUAAUUCUUUUCGGGUAUUUUAUAAAUCGAACCUUUUUAUAAACCUUUUUGGCGUAAAAAUUGCCCAUAUUGUCGCCUAUUAUAUAUAAAAAAUCGUUUUUUAAUAAAUAUUUAAAUAUAGUUUUAUAAUUUUUGGGUGGCGGCGGAAAAUUGGUCGAAUAUUUAAAGCUUUCCGCGUUAUAUAUAUUAAAAUUUGCUUUUUUUUUGGAACCAAUUGGUUAUUUUUAAAAAGAUUGGUGGCAAUUGCGAAAAUAUUAUAUAUUGUAAUUUGCAUAUUUUCGUAUUUUAAAUUAUAAUAUAUAAUUUCCUCAAAAUUUCGCCAAUUUUAUUUAAUAAUUGUUUUAUUUAUAUAUAUAAAAAUUGCAAACAUCCCCUUUAUUAUUAUUAUUUCGGUUGUUUUUUUUUAUUAGCGGACCCUAUUAUUUAUUUGCAAAUUUUGCUAGUUUACCGCGGCGUUUUAUUGCGGUUUAUAAUGGGAUUUUUAUAUUUAUUUGCGUUUUUGGUGGAUAACUUUAUUAUAGUGGUAAAAAUGGUUUUUCCAUUUUUUUAACGGUAUAAUAAUCCAUAUUACGGUAUUAAUUUCCGGAAAUAUUUUUUAUUAAAAUUCCUUUUUCCGGACCUUUAAAAAAUUUAAAUGUGGUUUUUGGGGUUUUAAAACCGAUAUUAAAUUUUCGGUUUUUUCUUAAUAUCCGCUCCGCAAUUAUAAAAACAAUCGUAUAUUUUUCUUUUUCGACGGGUAAUUUAACGAAAUUUCUAACGUUUUGGACGUAUUUAAUUUUUUUAUUUAAUUUAU
RNAcentral lists this small RNA (1082 nucleotides) under Pyricularia oryzae. RNAcentral's name for it is "Magnaporthe oryzae sRNA M_BR32_EuGene_00131361". Lineage: Eukaryota; Fungi; Ascomycota; Sordariomycetes; Magnaporthales; Pyriculariaceae. The record is from RNAcentral.